GAUGAACGCUGGCGGCGUGCCUAAUACAUGCAAGUCGAGCGAACAGACGAGGAGCUUGCUCCUCUGACGUUAGCGGCGGACGGGUGAGUAACACGUGGAUAACCUACCUAUAAGACUGGGAUAACUUCGGGAAACCGGAGCUAAUACCGGAUAAUAUAUUGAACCGCAUGGUUCAAUAGUGAAAGACGGUUUUGCUGUCACUUAUAGAUGGAUCCGCGCCGCAUUAGCUAGUUGGUAAGGUAACGGCUUACCAAGGCAACGAUGCGCAGCCGACCUGAGAGGGUGAUCGGCCACACUGGAGCUGAGACACGGUCCAGACUCCUACGGGAGGCAGCAGUAGGGAAUCUGCCGCAAUGGGCGAAAGCCUGACGGAGCAACGCCGCGUGAGUGAUGAAGGUCUUCGGAUCGUAAAACUCUGUUAUUAGGGAAGAACAAAUGUGUAAGUAACUAUGCACGUCUUGACGGUACCUAAUCAGAAAGCCACGGCUAACUACGUG
RNAcentral lists this ribosomal RNA (497 nucleotides) under uncultured bacterium. RNAcentral describes it as "partial 16S ribosomal RNA". It matches the Rfam family "Bacterial small subunit ribosomal RNA", at positions 28 to 507 of the family's 1533-position model. The record is from RNAcentral.